UACGGAGGGUGCUAGCGUUAAUCGGAAUUACUGGGCGUAAAGGGCGCGUAGGCGGUUUGUUAAGCAAGAUGUGAAAGCCCAGGGCUCAACCUUGGAAUAGCAUUUUGAACUGGCAAGCUAGAGUUUUGAAGAGGGGGGUAGAAUUUCCAGUGUAGCGGUGAAAUGCGUAGAUAUUGGAAGGAAUACCAGUGGCGAAGGCGGCCACCUGGUCAAAAACUAACGCUGAGGAGCGAAAGCGUGGGGAGCAAACAGG
This 253-nucleotide unclassified non-coding RNA is filed under the name uncultured Idiomarinaceae bacterium. RNAcentral's name for it is "contains 16S-23S intergenic spacer region". It matches the Rfam family "Bacterial small subunit ribosomal RNA", at positions 524 to 776 of the family's 1533-position model. The record is from RNAcentral. Lineage: Bacteria; Pseudomonadati; Pseudomonadota; Gammaproteobacteria; Alteromonadales; Idiomarinaceae.